AAACUUAAAGGAAUUGACGGGGCCCGCACAAGCAGCGGAGCGUGUGGUUUAAUUCGAUGAUACACGAAGAACCUUACCCAGGCUUGACAUGCAGGUAUCGGGGUUUACGAAAGUAGGCCCACCUCGGGAGGCCUGCACAGGUGCUGCAUGGCUGUCGUCAGCUCGUGUCGUGAGAUGUCCGGUUAAGUCCGGUAACGAGCGCAACCCUCGCUGUAUGUUAUACGUGUCAUACGGGACUGCCGGUAUCAAGCCGGAGGAAGGUGGGGAUGACGUCAAGUCAGCAUGGCCUUUAUGUCUGGGGCUACACACACGCUACAAUGGCCAGUACAAUAGGUUGCAAGACCGCGAGGUGGAGCCAAUCCUAAAAGCUGGUCUCAGUUCGGAUUGCAGGCUGCAACUCGCCUGCAUGAAGUCGGAGUUGCUAGUAACCGCGCGUCAGCUAUAGUGCGGUGAAUACGUUCCCGGGCCUU
Molecule: ribosomal RNA, 470 nt
Filed under: uncultured Anaerolineaceae bacterium
Lineage: Bacteria; Bacillati; Chloroflexota; Anaerolineae; Anaerolineales; Anaerolineaceae
Description: bacterial SSU rRNA
Rfam family: Bacterial small subunit ribosomal RNA
Source: RNAcentral